UAAGUUUAUCAGUGUGUUUAAUUUUGGAGGCAUUUUUUCCGGAUGGUUAUUUUGGAGGUCACGGCUCUUAUUUCUCCUUUGGACUCUUCUCUCUCCUUUUUUAAUUUUCAAACCGUUCGUCUUCCGUAUUCCAUCGUCCGUCCCUUGCGUUUUUAUUCUCGCAGAAGAUGAUUUCUUCUCAGCUGGUCGGCGGUGCAGCAAUGGCGGGUCGAAGGUGGUGAUUAUCAGCGAACUAAAAGGGGCGGGGCAGUCGUGUGUGGCGGCCAAACGAGUUUCACACAACCUUAGAAUUAGAAUUCUAAGGACAAAGUGGAUUCUGGAGUUUAUCUUAUGCGCCACAUGGAAAGUUACGCUAGUGAAGGUGUAGCUAGAUGGGAGUGCGGUCUCGUUAGGGGUGAUUGAGCUGAGCUGGAUCGCUUAUGCUUGCACUACAUGAAGAAGAUUUGCAUAGUGGAUAUAAAUUCCCACCGUACGAGCAAAAUCACACAAAGCGUUACGCUUUCUUUCCCCUCCUUUGGCUACCAGCAAGGAUUGAUGUAGAUUGUUGGUUUUGUGCACUAUUUUGGCAUCACCAUUUUGACAUGUUUGUUGUUUAUCAUGGAAGUCCCCCUAUGUGUUGUUUAGUGGUAGCUUAUUUUUGUGGACAGUGUAUAUUUGACAUCAGUGUUGUUUAUCAUAGCAUUCCCCUAGGGUUUUGAUCAAUGAUAGCUUCUAUUUGUGGUCA
Molecule: long non-coding RNA, 724 nt
Organism: Ipomoea triloba (trilobed morning glory)
Lineage: Eukaryota; Viridiplantae; Streptophyta; Magnoliopsida; Solanales; Convolvulaceae
Exons: 2
Source: RefSeq, a predicted model, not a curated record